Molecule: ribosomal RNA, 672 nt
Filed under: Triticum aestivum (bread wheat)
Lineage: Eukaryota; Viridiplantae; Streptophyta; Magnoliopsida; Poales; Poaceae
Description: partial small subunit ribosomal RNA
Source: RNAcentral
AUGUACAGGGCUGAGCUCAGAGAGCUCCUAAGCAGGCGCAGCGUCUCCAAUCUGCUCAGCAGCGGCUUCCGCGAGAGCCUGGACCAGCUCGUGCACUCGUACGCUCAGAGGCAGGAGCAUGACCCUCCGGCGCCACUCAACCAACACCAUGUCCAGCACCACCGGAUCGACGGAUCGGACCGGGCCGAGCAGGCCGCCGCCGGCCAGAGGCAGCAGCGGCGCUGGCGGAUGGUGCCGCCUCGCCGUGACCGGAGCCGGCAGCCCAUGCAACGGGCAGAUGAACUUGAAGUUGAUGAGGCCAUCCACGACCUGCGGGACGACAUGGCCGUGCUCCAGCGCGGGAUGGCCAGCACGCAGCAGAUGCUGCAGGCGUGCAUGGAGAUGCAGGUCGAGCUGCAGCGCUCCAUCCGGCAGGAGGUCGCCUCUCCCAUGCACCGCUCUCUGUCCCUCCAUGGGACAGUUAGAUGGUACGAUGAUGGAUCACAGUGGGAGCUGGUGAGGAAAGGGACCUGCUGCAUUUGCUGCGACAGCCAGAUCGACUCGCUUCUCUACAGGUGUGGGCACAUGUGCACCUGCUCAAAGUGCGCCCGCGAGCUGCUCCGCGGCGCCGGCAAGUGCCCGCUGUGCCGCGCGCCCAUCGUCGAGGUCGUCCGGGCUUACAGCAUAAUCUGA